GGAAGACCAAGGGUUCCUGUCCAACGUUAAUCGGGGCAGGGUGAGUCGACCCCUAAGGCGAGGCUGAAAAGCGUAGUCGAUGGGAAACGGGUUAAUAUUCCCGUACUGGUGGUAACUGCGAUGGGGGAACGGAGAAGGCUAGGUUGUCCGGGCGACGGUCGUCCCGGUUCAAGCAGGUAGGCAGAGUGAUUAGGCAAAUCCGGUCACUUAAUGCUGAGAUGUGAUGACGAACCACCAAGGUGGUGAAGCAAUUGAUGCCCCGCUUCCAGGAAAAGCCUCUAAGCUUCAGGUUACCAACAAUCGUACCCCAAACCGACACAGGUGGUCAGGUAGAGAAUACUCAGGCGCUUGAGAGAACUCGGGUGAAGGAACUAGGCAAAAUGGUGCCGUAACUUCGGGAGAAGGCACGCUGGCGGUAGGUAAAGUCCCUCGCGGACGGCGCUGAAGCCAGUCGAAGAUACCAGCUGGCUGCAACUGUUUAUUAAAAACACAGCACUGUGCAAACACGAAAGUGGACGUAUACGGUGUGACGCCUGCCCGGUGCUGGAAGGUUAAUUGAUGGGGUCAGCCGUAAGGCGAAGCUCCUGAUCGAAGCCCCAGUAAACGGCGGCCGUAACUAUAACGGUCCUAAGGUAGCGAAAUUCCUUGUCGGGUAAGUUCCGACCUGCACGAAUGGCGUAAUGAUGGCCAGGCUGUCUCCACCCGAGACUCAGUGAAAUUGAACUCGCUGUGAAGAUGCAGUGUACCCGCGGCAAGACGGAAAGACCCCGUGAACCUUUACUAUAGCUUGACACUGAACAUUGAGCCUUGAUGUGUAGGAUAGGUGGGAGGCUUUGAAGUGUGGACGCCAGUCUGCAUGGAGCCAACCUUGAAAUACCACCCUUUAACGUUUGAUGUUCUAACCUAGGCCCAUAAACUGGGUCGGGGACCGUGUCUGGUGGGUAGUUUGACUGGGGCGGUCUCCUCCUAAAGAGUAACGGAGGAGCACGAAGGUUGGCUAAGCAUGGUCGGACAUCAUGCGGUUAGUGCAAAGGCAUAAGCCAGCUUGACUGCGAGAGUGACGGCUCGAGCAGGUACGAAAGUAGGUCUUAGUGAUCCGGUGGUUCUGAAUGGAAGGGCCAUCGCUCAACGGAUAAAAGGUACUCCGGGGAUAACAGGCUGAUACCGCCCAAGAGUUCAUAUCGACGGCGGUGUUUGGCACCUCGAUGUCGGCUCAUCACAUCCUGGGGCUGAAGUAGGUCCCAAGGGUAUGGCUGUUCGCCAUUUAAAGUGGUACGCGAGCUGGGUUUAGAACGUCGUGAGACAGUUCGGUCCCUAUCUGCCGUGGGCGUUGGAAGAUUGAGAGGGGUUGCUCCUAGUACGAGAGGACCGGAGUGAACGCACCACUGGUGUUCGGGUUGUCAUGCCAAUGGCAUUGCCCGGUAGCUAAGUGCGGAAGAGAUAACCGCUGAAAGCAUCUAAGCGGGAAACUUGCC
This 1475-nucleotide ribosomal RNA is filed under the name Proteus mirabilis. RNAcentral describes it as "partial 23S ribosomal RNA". It matches the Rfam family "Bacterial large subunit ribosomal RNA", at positions 1339 to 2798 of the family's 2925-position model. Lineage: Bacteria; Pseudomonadati; Pseudomonadota; Gammaproteobacteria; Enterobacterales; Morganellaceae. The record is from RNAcentral.